AAACAAUAGAAAACUUGAAUACAUUAAGCACUGAAGCUUGAGCAAAGCACAAAUAUAUUCUUUCACAAUGUGUUGGACAUGGGUGAUGCGGUAUGAAAGUGAGACAAAUAAAAGGGGUUACACGACUACUCUCAAUAGGAAGAAUCAAAGGUGAUUCACAAUCAAUCCUAAAAGAAAAUCAGGAUUCAAACUAGAACCCACAUUUGAUUCUACAAGAAGCACACACCUACGAUGCACCUCAAGGCAUAAAUGAUGAGCACCACAGGGGAAGUAGAUCAUCCCCUAGAAACGAUGAAACCAGAGCAAAACAUACAAAACGAUCCAGGUCCAGAUCAGCUGAGGUUAACCAUAACUUUGGUGAUAGGAUGGAUGAAAGUAGAGAAGAAAACUCCAAGCACAAGGAGCGGAGGAGGUCCAGGUCCUCCUCCAUUGAGGGCAAGACUCGAGAAGAGAAGUCCAAGCACAAGGAGCGGAGACGGUCCAGGUCCUCGUCCACUGAGGACAAGAUUCGGAAACGAAGUAGAUCGUCACCAAGAGUUUCAGGUGAAACCAAAUCAAAAUAUAAAAGGCGGUCCAGGUCUAGAUCUCUUGAAAAAAGACGUCACGUUGGUAGUAAAGUAGACAAAAACAGCGAAGAGAAGUCCAAGCAACACGAAAGAAGGCGGUCCCGGUCAAGGUCUACUGAAGGUAAACGGCACAAAAGUAGUGGGAUGUAGCCUAGAAGGACUGAUGAACGGAAAACAAAACAUAGCAAGCGCUCAAGGUCAAGGUCAACGGAACACAAGUAUCACUCGAGUGACAAUGGUCUACAGGAAAGUAAGCAUGAGAAUGUGAAACAUCUGAAGGAAAGACCCACCGAAUCAGAUGAUUCCUCCAUGGAACUUGGUCCUAUGGACUUAAAUGAUUCAGAAAAUGAUGAUGGCCAUAUGGAAAUCAAUAAAAGGGAUGAGCGUGACUAUGAUAGAACCGAGGCUACUCUGACAGAACUAAACCUUACCAAAGAAACGUGAACUAGUUUGAAAUGCUGUCACCAAAGGCAAUGGUAUUUAUUUAGUGUAAUGAAGGAUUGCUAAUGCAUCAAAAGCAACCUGUACUUUGAAGUAACUCGGUUUGAAGUUUAGGCUUGUGUGGAAAGGGCUGUGAAAAGAGGAAGAUCUGGGUUUCUCUUGGAAGAUGCCUCAAUUUCUUUUCUGCUCCCAAAUAUUAGGAUGAUAUGUGGCUCUCUUGUGAUAAUUACUUCUUUUUUUUUUUCCUUCCUUCUCCCGAUUGCAGGUUGUUGAUGGAGUGGAGUUGCUGUAUUCUGAAGCUAUCUUGCUAUCAUAUUUCAGGAAGUCCUGUGCCUAUUUAAAUCAACUGAGCUAUAAUUUACGGAACUACUGUAUGAGCUUGAUCUAAGCUGAUCUCUUACCUUUAUCAGUAGGUCCUCAAGCUGGUAUCAAGUGGUGCUUUACUGAUCAAUUUGGCAAGAUUGUGUUAUCUGGUUGUAUAUGAAGGUAUGCAAUCAUGGAUUCUGGUGGUCUAGUGGCAGGAGCUUUUGCUGUUAAUUUUGACUGAUACAUUGAAUUGUUCACUGAUUUUUGUUGGUCCAAUUUUGAUUGAAGAUGAAGUUUGUUUCUGUACUUGAUACUUUGUAAUGCUCCUUUCCUCAUGUUUCUUUUGUCUUUUCCUUUUUUUUUUGGUUUUUUUUUUGGGGGGGAAGAGGGGAGGUUGGGUUUCCCCCUUCCCUUUUCUCUCUUCUUUCCUUCUUCCCUGUUUCUUCUCUAUAUUCCUUGGAAUGCUUGAUUAGGUAAUUUAUCAUUGACUCGAAAAGGAGGUUGCUGAGAUGGUUAGCAACAUAGCUUCCAGCUUUUCUCCCUGUGAAGUGAUCACAUUGGCCAACUUAAAGGGGCUGAGUUUCAUGGUGAAACUCUAUGUGCGCAGGUAAUUAGUUGUCUUAGACUGUUAUCCAAUAUUGUCUUCCUUGGAGGGAAAUGAAGUUAGCAACCCUACGGCACGGAGAUUACUCUUACUAAAGAUACCUAUCACUAGACAAGUAGUCUAACCCUCAGAGCAGCAGAUAGCUUGUUUGGUACAUGAACCAUCUAGUUUAAUGAUGGGUAUAUUAACAUUAGUUUCAUGUUGCUGAUGUUUAAUUUUGGAGUACAUUGAUGAUCAUUGCUCGAUCUGUCUAUAUGCGGUCUGUGUGUACGUGUACGGAUGGGGAAAAUGGUGAUUAAGCUGAAGCUCGUGAGCCAGUUGGCUGAAGUUCAGAUCACCUUACACUCUUUUAUCAUCAAUAUGGAACAAACCUAAUGUCUCAAUGGCAUAUGCUAUUAAUGUCACAAC
Molecule: long non-coding RNA, 2325 nt
Organism: Coffea arabica (coffee)
Lineage: Eukaryota; Viridiplantae; Streptophyta; Magnoliopsida; Gentianales; Rubiaceae
Source: RefSeq, a predicted model, not a curated record